This 358-nucleotide ribosomal RNA is filed under the name Chloroflexota bacterium. Its description in RNAcentral is "bacterial SSU rRNA". It matches the Rfam family "Bacterial small subunit ribosomal RNA", at positions 1 to 361 of the family's 1533-position model. Lineage: Bacteria; Bacillati; Chloroflexota. The record is from RNAcentral.
UUGAUUGAGAGUUUGAUCCUGGCUCAGGACGAACGCUGGCGGCGCGCCUAAUGCAUGCAAGUCGAACGAGCGGACCCCUUCGGGGGCGAGCUAGUGGCAGACGGCUGAGUAACGCGUAAGCAACCUACCCACUGGCGGGGGACAACCCGGAGAAAUCCGAGCUAAUACCGCAUGUGGUUGCCUGCCGAUAGCGGGUAACCAAAGGCUUCGGCCACCAGUGGAUGGGCUUGCGUCCCAUCAGGUAGUUGGUGAGGUAACGGCCCACCAAGCCAUCGACGGGUAGCCGGUGUGAGAGCACGACCGGCCAGAGGGGGACUGAGACACGGCCCCCACUCCUACGGGAGGCAGCAGCAGGGAA